CGAAGCAUGAGCUGUGAUGGGGAAGGAAAUUAAGUACGGAAGUUCCUGAUUUCACGCUGUCAAGAAAAGCCUCGAGGAAGAGUAGUACUGCCCGUACCGCAAACCGACACAGGUAGAUGAGGAGAGAAUCCUAAGGUGAGCGAGAGAACGAAAUUAAGUACGGAAGUUCCUGAUUUCACGCUGUCAAGAAAAGCCUCUAGG
Molecule: ribosomal RNA, 201 nt
Filed under: Listeria monocytogenes
Lineage: Bacteria; Bacillati; Bacillota; Bacilli; Caryophanales; Listeriaceae
Description: partial 23S ribosomal RNA
Source: RNAcentral